This 20-nucleotide small nuclear RNA is filed under the name Arabidopsis thaliana (thale cress). RNAcentral describes it as "snRNA_13444". The record is from RNAcentral. Lineage: Eukaryota; Viridiplantae; Streptophyta; Magnoliopsida; Brassicales; Brassicaceae.
AAGUCGAAAUCCGCUAAGGA